GAUGAACGCUGGCGGCGUGCCUAAUACAUGCAAGUCGAGCGAACAGACGAGUAGCUUUCUCCUCUGACGUUAGCGGCGUACGGGUGAGUAACACGUGGAUAACCUACCUAUAAGACUGGGAUAACUUCGGGAAACCGGAGCUAAUACCGGAUAAUAUAUUGAACCGCAUGGUUCAAUAGUGAAAGACGGUUUUGCUGUCACUUAUAGAUGGAUCCGCGCCGCAUUAGCUAGUUGGUAAGGUAACGGCUUACCAAGGCAACGAUGCGUAGCCGACCUGAGAGGGUGAUCGGCCACACUGGAACUGAGACACGGUCCAGACUCCUACGGGAGGCAGCAGUAGGGAAUCUUCCGCAAUGGGCGAAAGCCUGACGGAGCAACGCCGCGUGAGUGAUGAAGGUCUUCGGAUCGUAAAACUCUGUUAUUAGGGAAGAACAAAUGUGUAAGUAACUAUGCACGUCUUGACGGUACCUAAUCAGAAAGCCACGGCUAACUACGUG
RNAcentral lists this ribosomal RNA (497 nucleotides) under uncultured bacterium. RNAcentral describes it as "partial 16S ribosomal RNA". It matches the Rfam family "Bacterial small subunit ribosomal RNA", at positions 28 to 507 of the family's 1533-position model. The record is from RNAcentral.